UACGGAAGGUCCGGGCGUUAUCCGGAUUUACUGGGUGUAAAGGGAGCGUAGACGGCCAGACAAGUCAGAAGUGAAAGCCCAGGGCUCAACCCUGGGACUGCUUUUGAAACUGCCGGGCUGGAGUGCAGGAGAGGUAAGUGGAAUUCCUAGUGUAGCGGUGAAAUGCAUAGAUAUCGCGCAGAACCCCGAUUGCGAAGGCAGCGUACCGGCUCUACACUGACGCUGAGGCACGAAAGCGUGGGUAUCGAACAGG
Molecule: ribosomal RNA, 253 nt
Filed under: uncultured bacterium
Lineage: Bacteria
Description: partial 16S ribosomal RNA
Rfam family: Bacterial small subunit ribosomal RNA
Source: RNAcentral